GGGGUCGUAGCCUAGCCUGGUAGGGCGACAGUCUGCGAAAUUACCGCCAAGGGCUCCAGAGGUCUGUACCAAGCUGGCUGAUUGAUGAUGUAAGUUUGGAGCUGCAGAGACCCGUAGGUCGCCGGUUCGAUUCCGGUCGGCCCCA
RNAcentral lists this transfer RNA (145 nucleotides) under Cenarchaeum symbiosum A. It matches the Rfam family "tRNA". From Rfam's summary of the family: Transfer RNA (tRNA) molecules are approximately 80 nucleotides in length. Their secondary structure includes four short double-helical elements and three loops (D, anti-codon, and T loops). The record is from Rfam by way of RNAcentral. Lineage: Archaea; Thermoproteati; Nitrososphaerota; Candidatus Cenarchaeales; Candidatus Cenarchaeaceae.